CCUACGGGUGGCAGCAGUGGGGAAUAUUGGACAAUGGGCGAAAGCCUGAUCCAGCCAUGCCGCGUGUGUGAAGAAGGCCUUCGGGUUGUAAAGCACUUUCAGUGGGGAAGAAAGCCUUGGGGCUAAUACCCUCGAGGAAGGACAUCACCCACAGAAGAAGCACCGGCUAACUCCGUGCCAGCAGCCGCGGUAAUACGGAGGGUGCGAGCGUUAAUCGGAAUUACUGGGCGUAAAGCGCGCGUAGGCGGUCUGAUAAGCCGGUUGUGAAAGCCCCGGGCUCAACCUGGGAACGGCAUCCGGAACUGUCAGGCUAGAGUGCAGGAGAGGAAGGUAGAAUUCCCGGUGUAGCGGUGAAAUGCGUAGAGAUCGGGAGGAAUACCAGUGGCGAAGGCGGCCUUCUGGACUGACACCGACGCUGAGGUGCGAAAGCGUGGGUAGCAAACAGGAUUAGAUACCCUGGUAGUC
RNAcentral lists this ribosomal RNA (465 nucleotides) under Vreelandella stevensii. RNAcentral describes it as "partial 16S ribosomal RNA". It matches the Rfam family "Bacterial small subunit ribosomal RNA", at positions 338 to 795 of the family's 1533-position model. The record is from RNAcentral. Lineage: Bacteria; Pseudomonadati; Pseudomonadota; Gammaproteobacteria; Oceanospirillales; Halomonadaceae.